Canis lupus familiaris (dog) is the source of this 2707-nucleotide long non-coding RNA. RefSeq lists it as uncharacterized. The transcript has 3 exons. The record is from RefSeq and is a predicted model, not a curated record. NCBI's taxonomy places the organism in Eukaryota, Metazoa, Chordata, Mammalia, Carnivora, Canidae.
CAUUCAGCCUACCUCGGUGAUCUUUUGGAGGGACACGGAUCAGGGGAUGUGAUGGGGGGCUGGCUUAGAAGGUGCAGAGAUCCUACAGGGGAGGUACCCCUUUAGGGAGACCUUUCCUCCGCACGAGGAGCGCCCUGAUGAGGAGGUUAUGGGCAGACUGAAGCACGUGAGGUCAUGGGGAGCCACGGGGGAAGAGAGCAUAAAAAGGAGGGAGGAAGAAGCAGCCAGACGACGGGGUCAUUGGUCUGAUGGUGAUGACAAACUUACGGGGGGCGGGGUUCCCUCCCAUGGCUGAUGCCUGGGUCAGGGUGAGGCUUGUCAGAGAGAUGCCCGUGGCUGUGGCUGAGUAGUUGCUGUCGAAGGGGGGGGGUCCUCUGCUGCACGUAAGGGGUGUCAGCAUCUAGGAGGUCUCCACCAACAUAAAAUUAACCUGGGUUCAAAGACCCUUCAAACACAUGGAACAUGACUUCCCAGAAAACCCAAUGAACUGCUGUGUUCAUUGAGAGAACAGCCUGGCAUUUAGGCAUUUAGGAUUUACAGGGGCUGCUAGAGGGACUACGUUGUAGAUCCCGCAAAUUGCCUGAACCGAUUUUCAGAAUGAGAACUCUGGAGUCUCGUAAGAGCCUCAGUCACCAAGGGCUUGUGCUGCUUUGUUCUGAAGGCCUCUAAUGGAUUCAAAUUCUCUUCUGAUGCCGGCGGAACCUCUCCGUGUCUCCGGGUGCCGGGUUUGGGGAGGAAGACAAGAAGACAACGGGCCGAGCUGUAUCAAGCAGUGGAAUUUUGAUACAAGAGAACGCGUGGCUUCGAAAGAGGAAGUCACGGAGGUGUUGGGGGGCCUGUGAAUGCCCCCGGCCGGGAGCCAGGCUGCCCUUAGUUCAGGAAGGCACUCUCCGGACGGCCCCUGAGUUCUGCUCCAGCGCCACCGUUGUGUGCCUCAGCUGCCCGACAGCGGUUGGCGCUAGGCCCUUCCCUGCACGUCCUUCAGGAGACCAGUGGCCCGCAGGACGGAGGCCUUAGACUGGCACCCGCGCCCAUUCACGGCUCUACGGGCCCCGCGGGAGGCUGGCUGCCUUGCGGAGCCGUGGAAGAGGAACGAAGCAGGAUUGGGGGUCUGCAGAGCUGCCCUCGGGCUCUGAGACUAGUCGGCCCUUAUGAGAAUCAAGAGGGCGUCAGUUUUCCCUUCUGUCCUAUGGAGAAAACCGUAGAAGGUUCUUAAGAGGCCAAAAGGGAGGACAGGAAAUGCCCAGCACGCAGUGGCCUCCUCCCCUGGCCCACUGCCCCCUCGCCGCGUGGUCCUGCUCAGGUCCUGACACCUGCUGUCCCUGCAGGAAGACUGGUGGUUUGUGAACAACCAUCUCAGAGGUAAAAAGAGCCUUCAGAGGACACUGAGAGAUGAAUAUUUCACCUUCUACUGUCCCCAGAUGACUUGUCAGGAAGUGGAACUUUGGUCUCGGGGACUCCAUAAGUGGUUUUGAACAGGACUCUUUAAACUCUUGAUCAACCAGUUUCUACUUUAAAUCUCUACUACUUAUGUCCUUAUGCAGAAGGACUGUUGAGAAUUUUGGAGCUUUUUUUUUUUUAAAAUACUGCAUUAUCACAGACCUUGCUGAACCCAAAGGUGAGAAAUCAAAGGGGACAGAUAUUUUUGCCUGUUUAAAAGAAUACUUUGAUACCGUAGAAGUUGGGGUUAGAAUAUUUUGUUCCUUGUGGUGUAAUGAAAGCGUCUGGUUACAAAAACAUUGUCUUAAAUUGUUAAAGCGGUUCAAUAGGUCACACCUUCCCUGGGCUGGCCGAAUGACUUCCUGGCGCUAACACAAUUGGGUGAAAGAAACACUGUACAAGUUCUGGGACAGAGUCCGCGUUCAUACUCUUGUGGCUUGUCCUAUAAUGGUAGGAUAAUGUCUUUGAGCACGAGGGGACCUACAGAGGGAGAGGCUCUGGUGGGUGAAUGACCAUGAGCUGUCAUAGUUGAGGAGCCAGAGCCAUGAGUAGAGUCCUCUUGGAUUCUCCAGCCUCAGUCAAUUGGCCAAUUGACUGAAAAUGCACGAAUGAACCCAGAAAACUCUUGAAGCGGAGACAAGCUACCCAGCAGAGCCCAGCUCACACUGUAGAAUUAUGAGCAAAGCCAUGGUUUUAAGUCACUAAGCUGGGGAAUGACUUGUCACAUAGCAGUAGAUAACCUCACCACACAUGGUGGAGACGCGGGUCCUUUGAGUCACAGGACUCUAGGGCAAGCCAGAUAGGAGGGACUAGUACGGGAACGUCCCGGAGUGGUGACACUCUAGUUGGGCUGUGCAUGCUUCCAUUUUCUCUGAGGGACCGCGGCACCAUGUCUUGUGUGUACUUCUGUUUGGCACUAAUGUGAUUUGUUCUCGGCCUGUCUCUCUCAGUAGAAGGUGGGUUCCUUGUAGAAGAGGCCGUAUUUCGGUGGUUCUGUAGCUCUAGCACCUAAUGGGCUUUCCCAUGUAGAAGUUGCUCAAGAAAUGUUUGUUAAAGCAAAACACUGAAAUAACUCCAGAGAAGUGCUGCUGUAUUAUCAAGGACCAGGAAGGAAACGGUGCGCUUUUGAAUGGACGAGUAAAGAGGAUGCUAGAGAAAGGAAGCUUUAUUUUUUAUUUUUUUGAAUUCAUGAUUUUUUUUCUAGAAUCGUUGAGCUGCACGGUUUAUAUUUCCUUUCCAGGACACUUAGUGCUUCCUACAUUAACCC